AUGGCUUGGCCACCGCGCUCAGCCCUGCCGCCCCCUUCCUACGCGGCUCCGGUCGAAGCCGUGGCCUGGGACCCCCUGCGGCAGCCCGGGGAUUCGUCCCCCCCACCUUGGCCAAGGCUGUUUGGGCACCGGCCAGUUCUGCUCGUUCAGCGGCAAGAGCAGAGGUGCCGUUGGGGCUCUCCCAGACCCUUCUCCCCGCGUGGGCUGGUGCGUGGGUGGUUUGGGGAAGUUUGGGGCCGGAGCCUGCCUGGAGGCUGGGGCAGCCCUGUGCACCAGGGCAGCGCCGGCGGCAGACGCGGAGCUUUCCAGGAGAUGUCUACUAAGACCUUCCCUUUCCUCCCCCAGGGAGGACGGAGGCCGGCAUCUGCUACAGUCAGGUUUCCUGAUGCAAACCAUGCCCUGGAGCAGCACCCAGCCCUUGCUCCCCACUGGGUGCUGCUCGGGGGGAGGGGGGCGAGCAGGGCCCCCCACUCGUGUCCAGCAGCCAGCGCGCACGGUGAGGCCGUCCUGCACCCACCCAGCCACAGGGGCCCUGCUGGGGGGGGGGGGUCCAGGCAGGAAAGGGGGGACACGGGCUGCAGCAUCCCUCCCCGCACCCGCCACGCUGCGUGCAGAGUGCCACCAAGUGCUGCCUGCGGGUCUUGCAGGGGACACCCAUGCCGGGGACACCCGUGCUGGGGACACCCGCGCCUGCCCACCGCUCCCGGCCAUGCCGCCAGCCCGCAUGCACCCCAUCCAAGGCUGGGCCAUGCGUCUCCCACCCGCAGAGUGCUCUGGCUCUCCUCUCACCGGAGCUGGACCCCCUCCCAGGACACUGCAGCCCCCUGUCAUAGGUGCCCCUGCAGCCUGCCGGCCCGAAGGGCUGCAGCCCAGCCUGGAGCGCUGGCCGCGGUGUCCCCGGCAUGGCCAGCAUCGCCUGCAGGCUGCCUGCACGCCAUGCAUCACUCACCACCCUCCUCCUCCUCCCUGCGCCUCCCUCGCACUCCCCGGGCCGUGCCGUGGCCCCGCUCUGCCUGCCCCGCGCGGGGCUGCAGCCCCAGCCCGGAGGCCGCCUGGCCGGAAGGGUCCCGAGGGCUGGAGGUGCCGGGGGAAGACGCGGCUCCCCUGCGCCCGGCCGGGGCCGAAGCAGACACUCGCCACCCGCUCGGCUUCAUUGGCAGCUUCCUUUUAUUCACCAGACGGAAGGGAUGGAGGGGACGGGAUGGGCAGUGGGACUGGCCCUACCUUGAGACAUGA
RNAcentral lists this long non-coding RNA (1236 nucleotides) under Apteryx haastii (Great spotted kiwi). RNAcentral's name for it is "lncRNA (ENSAHAG00000010188.1)". Lineage: Eukaryota; Metazoa; Chordata; Aves; Apterygiformes; Apterygidae. The record is from RNAcentral.